CCAAUAGCGUAUAUUAAAGUUGUUGCAGUUAAAAAGCUCGUAGUUGAAUUUCGAGACCGGUCUACUGGUCGUGCUUUUGUACGUACUGGUUUUAUUGGUUUCUCCUUUCUGACGAACUAUAAUGCCAUUAAUUUGGUGUUAUAGGGAAUCAGGACUGUUACUUUGAAAAAAUUAGAGUGUUUAAAGCAGGCUCACGCUUGAAUACAUUAGCAUGGAAUAACGGAAUAGGACGUUUGAUUUUAUUUUGUUGGUUUCUAGGAUCGACGUAAUGAUUAAUAG
This 279-nucleotide ribosomal RNA is filed under the name uncultured Glomus. Its description in RNAcentral is "partial 18S small subunit ribosomal RNA". It matches the Rfam family "Eukaryotic small subunit ribosomal RNA", at positions 591 to 875 of the family's 1831-position model. Lineage: Eukaryota; Fungi; Glomeromycota; Glomeromycetes; Glomerales; Glomeraceae. The record is from RNAcentral.